UUCAUUAGUUGGCCUAUCCGUUGCAAGUGCUAGAGCACCUAAUGUAUCCAUGAUGAGGUUCACCCAUAGCAGUUGAACCGUAGUCAACGGAACCUCACCGGCUGAAACUGCUGCAAUGAAGUUGAUCACGAGAGCUGCGACAUUUACGGUAAGUUGAAAUUGAAUGAAUUUUUGUAUGUUAUUGUAAACACAUCUUCCCCACCUUAAAACUGUGGCAACUGAGCUAAAAUUGUCAUCUAAGAUGACAAUGUCCGAGCUCUCCUUGGCUACCUCAGUGCCUUGAAUGCCCAUUGAAAGUCCGAUAUCAGCUUCUUUUAGUGCAGGAGCAUCAUUGGUGCCAUCCCCUGUGACCGCGACCACAUGACCUUUCUGUUUCAAGCACUGUACCAUCAAAAGCUUGUCAAAUGGUGAGGACCUUGCCAUCACCCGGAUCUUUUCUACCUUCUCCAUUCUCUCAUCAGGUGCGUAAUUUCGAAACUCGAUUCCUUCAACUACUUCUCCACUUCCUUGCUGGUAAUCUGGUCCUAGAAUUCCACAUUCUGUAGCUAUAGCUUUAGCUGUGAACAUGUUGUCUCCAGUAAUCAUUUUGAUGCUCACCCCUGCAGAUUGGCAAGCCUGCACAGCUUUCUUGACCCCUGGCCGACAUGGAUCCUUUAAACCAACUAUCCCAAGCAAGGUUAAACCAUCUUCUUUUAUUCCACGAUUCGUCUUUCUGCUUUGAUCAUCACCAUCUUCUGUCUCUCCUUUCAAAACUUGCUUAUGAGCAAAAGCAAUGCAUCGUAGACUACUGGCUGCCAUGCUUUGGAUUAUGGUUUCGAUUCUGUCCCUUCCGUCUUCGUUCAUCGACCGUAUGGUCCCAUUGCUUUCAUAAUAUUGUGAACACAUGGCUACAAUCAUCUCUGCAGCUCCUUUCCAAUGUAUGUGUACCAUUUCAUCAGCCUUUUUCUGAACUGAUACCCCGCUACGCUUUUUCUCCGAGUUGAAGGUUUCAACGUGGAGAAUGCUGUAUUGUUGCUUCAGCUUUUCAAUAUUCAUAUCCAAGCCUAGGACACCCCAAGACAGAAUUGCCUUCUCGGUUGGACUGCCUGAAAACUCGGGAAGGGAUCCCGAGACAGGUUUGCAGACACUA
This 1129-nucleotide long non-coding RNA is filed under the name Gossypium barbadense (sea-island cotton). RNAcentral's name for it is "long non-coding RNA (GBAR_LNC018291)". Lineage: Eukaryota; Viridiplantae; Streptophyta; Magnoliopsida; Malvales; Malvaceae. The record is from RNAcentral.